ACGACCAGUGCAACAGAGAGCAAACCGCCGAUGGCCCACGCAAGUGGGAUCAGGUAAGGGUGAAAGGGUGCGGUAAGAGCGCACCGCGCGGCUGGUAACAGUCCGUGGCACGGUAAACUCCACCCGGAGCAAGGCCAAAUAGGGGUUCAUAAGGUACGGCCCGUACUGAACCCGGGUAGGCUGCUUGAGCCAGUGAGCGAUUGCUGGCCUAGAUGAAUGACUGUCCACGACAGAACCCGGCUUAUCGGUCAGUUUCACCU
This 260-nucleotide RNase P RNA is filed under the name Salmonella enterica subsp. enterica serovar Enteritidis. RNAcentral's name for it is "partial RNase P RNA component class A". It matches the Rfam family "Bacterial RNase P class A", at positions 102 to 367 of the family's 367-position model. From Rfam's summary of the family: Ribonuclease P (RNase P) is a ubiquitous endoribonuclease, found in archaea, bacteria and eukarya as well as chloroplasts and mitochondria. Its best characterised activity is the generation of mature 5'-ends of tRNAs by cleaving the 5'-leader elements of precursor-tRNAs. The record is from RNAcentral. Lineage: Bacteria; Pseudomonadati; Pseudomonadota; Gammaproteobacteria; Enterobacterales; Enterobacteriaceae.